AGAGGUGUAAUGGAAUAGAGGUGU
RNAcentral lists this non-coding RNA (24 nucleotides) under Gossypium hirsutum (cotton). The record is from RNAcentral. Lineage: Eukaryota; Viridiplantae; Streptophyta; Magnoliopsida; Malvales; Malvaceae.